RNAcentral lists this long non-coding RNA (469 nucleotides) under Homo sapiens (human). RNAcentral describes it as "HSALNT0106606". The record is from RNAcentral. Lineage: Eukaryota; Metazoa; Chordata; Mammalia; Primates; Hominidae.
CCCAGAGUCAGCACCUCUGAAGCGAACUCAGCAAAUGGAAGUCAUCGAACCCCCCAUGAGAGCCAUCCAACAUGGAACCAGCCUGCAAGGAGGUUCUGACCUCCCCGUCACCACAGAGUCUACAGGUCCAGGAGAGGAAAGACCAGAGGUUUCAACUCCAGCCCACAUAUUAGAACCCCACUCAUGCCCAGGCUCCACCACAGGGAUACUGAUGCCAACACCCAGGAGGAGCUCACCCACAUGAAUCCUCUUAAAUGCCUCUCCAGCCAUGGUUGAGAACCACUGGGUCAGACUGUCUUCAUUAAAGGUCUCUGAGGGGCUCACAUUAGGAGUUGAUCAUUAAAUGUGUCUUGGUUCAGCCCACAUUUAUGGAGGACUGCUCCAUGGCAUAAACCUGUCCCAAGGCACAUGAGGGUAAACAAGACAUGUCCGUCAACCUCAGCUCCCACCUGCCAGCUCCCACCUGAGA